RNAcentral lists this ribosomal RNA (440 nucleotides) under uncultured bacterium. Its description in RNAcentral is "partial 16S ribosomal RNA". It matches the Rfam family "Bacterial small subunit ribosomal RNA", at positions 338 to 795 of the family's 1533-position model. The record is from RNAcentral.
CCUACGGGGUGCAGCAGUAGGGAAUAUUGCUCAAUGGGGGAAACCCUGAAGCAGCAACGCCGCGUGGAGGAUGAAGGUUUUCGGAUUGUAAACUCCUUUUGUUAGAGAAGAUAAAUACGGUAGCUAAGGAAUAAGCACCGGAGCACUCCGUGCCAGCAGCCGCGGUAAUACGGAGGGAGCCAGCGUUACUCGGAAUCACUGGGCGGCAAGAGCGCGUAGGCGGGAUCGCAAGUCCGAUGGGACAUCCUAUGGCUUUACCAUAGAACUGCAUUUGAAACUUUUAUUCUAGCGUAUGGGAGAGGUAGGUGGCAUUCUUGGUGUAGGGGUAAAAUCCGUAGAGAUCAAGAGGAAUACUCAUUGCGCGGGCGACCUGCUAGACCAUAACUGACGCUGAUGCGCGAACGCGUGGGGAGCAAACAGGAUUAGAUACCCUUGUAGUC